Molecule: ribosomal RNA, 137 nt
Filed under: uncultured eukaryote
Lineage: Eukaryota
Description: partial 18S ribosomal RNA
Rfam family: Eukaryotic small subunit ribosomal RNA
Source: RNAcentral
UGGUGGAGUGAUUUGUCUGCUUAAUUGCGAUAACGAACGAGACCUUAACCUGCUAAAUAGCCGGGCCCGCUUUGGCGGGUCGCCGGCUUCUUAGAGGGACUAUCGGCUCAAGCCGAUGGAAGUUUGAGGCAAUAACA